This 443-nucleotide ribosomal RNA is filed under the name uncultured bacterium. RNAcentral describes it as "partial 16S ribosomal RNA". It matches the Rfam family "Bacterial small subunit ribosomal RNA", at positions 338 to 795 of the family's 1533-position model. The record is from RNAcentral.
CCUACGGGAGGCAGCAGUGGGGAAUAUUGGGCAAUGGGCGCAAGCCUGACCCAGCAAAGUCGCGUGAAGGAAGAAUGCCCUCUGGUUGUAAACCUCCUUUUUCAGGGACGAAGCACGUGACGCUUCCUGAGGAAUAAGCCACGGCUAACUACGGGCCAGCAGCCGCGGGAAUACGUGGGUAGGAAGUGUUAUCCGGAUUUACUGGGUGUAAAGGGCGUGUAGGGGGGGACGCAAGCUCGAUGGGAAAACCACGGGGUCAACCUGUGGCCUGCCGUUGAAACUGUGGUUCUGGAGUAGGGGAGAGGCAGGCGGAAUGCCUGGUGUAGCGGUGAAAUGCGUAGAUAUUACGAAGAACACCGAUGGCGAAGGCAGUCUACUGGACAGCAACUGACGCUGAAGCACGAAAGCGUGGGGAGCGAACAGGAUUAGAUACCCUUGUAGUC